GCGGAUGUAGUUCAAUGGUAGAACUUCAGCUUCCCAAGCUGACGGCAGGGGUUCGAUUCCCUUCAUCCGCU
RNAcentral lists this transfer RNA (71 nucleotides) under Desmospora activa DSM 45169. It matches the Rfam family "tRNA". From Rfam's summary of the family: Transfer RNA (tRNA) molecules are approximately 80 nucleotides in length. Their secondary structure includes four short double-helical elements and three loops (D, anti-codon, and T loops). Lineage: Bacteria; Bacillati; Bacillota; Bacilli; Caryophanales; Thermoactinomycetaceae. The record is from Rfam by way of RNAcentral.